Xyrichtys novacula (pearly razorfish) is the source of this 128-nucleotide non-coding RNA. The record is from the annotation of a GenBank genome assembly. NCBI's taxonomy places the organism in Eukaryota, Metazoa, Chordata, Actinopteri, Labriformes, Labridae.
GUAUGUGUGUGUGUGUGUGAUGGGGGUGUAGUGAGUGGGAGUGGUUGUUAAAGGAGGAGUGAGAUAAUUGGGGAGUCUGUAUUCUCUCUCCCCCUCUCACUCCCCCAGCUCCACCAUUUCUCCACCUU